Molecule: long non-coding RNA, 306 nt
Filed under: Bos mutus (wild yak)
Lineage: Eukaryota; Metazoa; Chordata; Mammalia; Artiodactyla; Bovidae
Description: lncRNA (ENSBMUG00000015648.1)
Source: RNAcentral
CUCCCUGUAAGUGGAGGUGGAGGGAACCCGAGUUGCUUCUCCUCCCCAUUUCUUAAGCCUCUCCCGCCAGAACGGUCCAGUCUGCCAUGUGGUUGAUUCAGCCCGCCAAUAUGAGGCGCCCCACCACCACCUCCGCCCAGCACCUGGCCAGGUGGGAGGGUGGGGCCCAAAAGCCCAGCCUGGAGCAUUCAUCGUGUUUCCCCUAGAACUGAGACAGAUUGACGAGAUGCCGGAGGCUGCCGUGAAAUCAACAGCCAACAAAUACCAAGUCUUUUUUUUCGGGACCCACGAGACGUGAGUGAGGGA